GAUGAACGCUAGCGGCAGGCUUAACACAUGCAAGUCGAGGGGUAUCACGCUUUCGGGCGUGAGAGACCGGCGCACGGGUGCGUAACGCGUAUGCAAUCUACCUUUUGCAGAGGGAUAGCCCAGAGAAAUUUGGAUUAAUACCUCAUAGUAUAGAACAAUCGCAUGAUUGAGCUAUUAAAGUCACAACGGCAAAAGAUGAGCAUGCGUCCCAUUAGUUAGUUGGUAAGGUAACGGCUUACCAAGACUACGAUGGGUAGGGGUCCUGAGAGGGAGAUCCCCCACACUGGUACUGAGACACGGACCAGACUCCUACGGGAGGCAGCAGUGAGGAAUAUUGGACAAUGGGCGCAAGCCUGAUCCAGCCAUGCCGCGUGCAGGAUGACGGUCCUAUGGAUUGUAAACUGCUUUUGUACAGGAAGAAACACUCCCUCGUGAGGGAGCUUGACGGUACUGUAAGAAUAAGGAUCGGCUAACUCCGUG
Molecule: ribosomal RNA, 480 nt
Filed under: uncultured bacterium
Lineage: Bacteria
Description: bacterial SSU rRNA
Rfam family: Bacterial small subunit ribosomal RNA
Source: RNAcentral